AGAAUCAACGCUGGCGGCGUGCCUAACACAUGCAAGUCGAACGCGAAAGCCCCGCAAGGGGUAAGUAGAGUGGCAAACGGGUGAGUAACACGUGGGUGAUCUGCCUCAGAGUGGGGGAUAACGACCCGAAAGGGUCGCUAAUACCGCAUAACAUCCUGCCUUUGGAUAGGCGGUGAUCAAAGUUGGGGAUCCGCAAGGACCUGACGCUUGGAGAGGAGCCCGCGGCCGAUUAGCUAGUUGGUGAGGUAACGGCUCACCAAGGCAACGAUCGGGUA
This 275-nucleotide ribosomal RNA is filed under the name uncultured soil bacterium. RNAcentral describes it as "partial 16S ribosomal RNA". It matches the Rfam family "Bacterial small subunit ribosomal RNA", at positions 26 to 286 of the family's 1533-position model. The record is from RNAcentral.